RNAcentral lists this long non-coding RNA (369 nucleotides) under Phaseolus vulgaris (common bean). Its description in RNAcentral is "long non-coding RNA (PVUL_LNC001051)". Lineage: Eukaryota; Viridiplantae; Streptophyta; Magnoliopsida; Fabales; Fabaceae. The record is from RNAcentral.
AACCACAUGAGUGAUGAGUUGUGAUGGCACUCUAUGGAAUCACAUAUCCAUAUAACAUAAGGUGGAGAAAGGGACAUAAGGAAGGGGGCAGGGGGGGACCAAUUAAUACCACCUGUUCAUUCUCAGGCAAAGCAGACAUGAAAUCCAUUAGAGGUUUGUUAUAAUCAUCAAAAGAUAGCAAAGAAUCUGCAUCAGAUUGAUCAAUUCCACCACUUUUCAGGUCUAUGCAUGACACCUUAUAGCCAGAAUUCUCCAUAAGGCACCGGAUUUUGUACCAGCACCAACCUCCCCCACCUAGGCCAUGUACAAGCACAAAGUGCUGCUGCUUCAACCCAACUCCUUCUUCCCUCACUCCCUCAGGCAUGCUUU